Molecule: non-coding RNA, 1469 nt
Organism: Microcebus murinus (gray mouse lemur)
Lineage: Eukaryota; Metazoa; Chordata; Mammalia; Primates; Cheirogaleidae
Source: RefSeq, a predicted model, not a curated record
CGAUAGGGGUGGGGCUUGCAGCGGAAAUGGCCUUUCUGCCACUACGGGCUGGGAAGAUGCUGCGUCCUUUGUUAACGUGUCUGUACCUUGGCCUGUGCAGCCUCUUGGUGGGGCUGGCGGAGGCCCCGAACCCCAUGGAUCCGUUCAAGUGGAGCCGGCCGUACGCAGUGCUGCGUGGGCAGAACCUGGUGAUGUUGGGAACCAUUUUCAGCAUCCUGCUGGUGACCGUCAUCCUUAUGGCAUUUUGUGUCUACAAGCCCAUUCGGCGUCGGUGACAGCCAAGCAAACAAGUUCUUCCAUGAGUUCUUGGACACAGGAAAAGUUGUGUUGCACAUGGGCCAGUGGAGAAGUUGGAAUCAGAACUUUCCUACUUGGAAGUGACCUUCGGUCUGGACAAUUGGUAAAUGGUAAAUGAUUUAGAAAAAGCAUCUCUAAGCAGUUAUUUUUUUCCUAACACUAUAAUGCAAAUAAUCGGCCACUGAGUCUGCCUGUGUUUCUUUUUUUUAAUUUGGCUGUGCUUACUAAAAGACAGGCCUGAAGCCCAAGGUUCAAUGUAAAGAUGGAGUUCUCGUGAGAAAGAAAACAUGACAACCCCGUGUCUGUAAACCACACUGGAAAAGACUAAUCAUUAAUGCUUGAAAAUAUUAAUAAGAGGAAGACCUACCAUGUAGUCAUUCCCUAUUUAAGAACCAUUCAGUCACAGUGGGUUAAACAUCACAAAUGUUUUUCAUUUCAUCUGAGCUGGACUAGAAUGUUCUGGUUGCAAAGCAGUAGCAGCUGUGUCCCCACAGCUGGCAGUCCUCACCUGGAUCUGGGUCUGCGCUCAGGUGCCCCCACUGAAGUCAGGUCACAUGUGGCAGACCUGUUACCACGUGCACCUUGGCCUGGGGAUAGACUGGAAAUAUCACUAGUUGGCCCAUCUUAAAAAGAACUCCGUCCACUCAGGCAUGUUGAUCCCUCCUGUACGACACUUAAGGCUUUCCAGCCCACAGCCUAAAACUCUGGGUACCUUUUCAGAUUUGGAAUCUAGAAGCGGCUCAGCAGGAGCGCCUGUCAGCCGGGGGUGGGGAGGGCUUACCCAACAGGAAGUGCAUGUUCACUGUGCUGGCCAGUGUGUGUUCACAGAUUGAAUCUCAACUUGGAAAACGCUGCUAUUAUGUUGCACUGUUAGUGAACUGGAUUUUUUUCCCCUAUUGAAAUGAUACUUGUACUUAUAAAGUGGUUAUCAGUAUUUAUUUUAAGGUGUUAGAUUUAAUUUUGUUAUUAAUGGAAAUGUUUAUCUUGUGCUUCAUUGAAGCACAGCACCAAUCUCUUUAUUUUUGUUAACAGCCUGCACUUAAUGUGAAAUAACUGAUGUGGUAUACUGUAACUGUUUAAGAAUUUGUUGUAACAUUGAGCCAUUGAAACGUUCACUGUUCUGUGCUUUUGAGCAAAAUGUCAAUUAAAGUAAAAUCCUACGCGCUGUUCUA